This 94-nucleotide non-coding RNA is filed under the name human gut metagenome. Its description in RNAcentral is "THF riboswitch". It matches the Rfam family "THF (Tetrahydrofolate) riboswitch aptamer". Rfam says of the family: THF riboswitch presents a pseudoknot that joins P1-P2 and the loop of P3 and two THF binding. The record is from RNAcentral.
GUAGAGUAAGCAUUGUGCGUUAAGUGGCAAGCGGAUGGGAAGUCGCCCUUGCACGAAAGACGAUCGGGUCUACGAUACAAUGCUGCGUCCGCUA